UGAUGGGUGAAUCUGAUCCCUCUCUCCCCUGUGGCGAGCUCCUGUGUGCCCCUCUUUCAUCCGCGUCUGCCACGAGACUGGAGAUCAGAAAUUUGGAAGAGCCUACAUGUUGGUGUGAGAUUUUAGAUCGUGUCUCUCUUUUGCUUGAUGCAGCUAGGUCUUGUUGACAUUGUCUCGUUGUAAUAUUGCCAAGAAUUUGGACGAAAAGUCAUCAUCAACGAUGUACGAAAAACUGUCUGAUCUACUGACUACUUCCUCCGUUCGGAAUUACUCGUCCAAGAAAUGAAUGUAUCUAGAUGUAUUUUAGUUGUAGAUACAUCCAUUUUUAUCCACAAGUAAUUCCCAACGGAGGGAGUAGUUGCUAAGUGUCUUGGCCUCAUGGGAUGAUCAAAUUCAGAAUUUGCAUUUUAU
RNAcentral lists this long non-coding RNA (411 nucleotides) under Triticum aestivum (bread wheat). RNAcentral describes it as "long non-coding RNA (TAES_LNC027155)". The stretch from base 246 to 361 matches the Rfam family "MIR1120/MIR1122 microRNA precursor family". The record is from RNAcentral. Lineage: Eukaryota; Viridiplantae; Streptophyta; Magnoliopsida; Poales; Poaceae.